Molecule: ribosomal RNA, 460 nt
Filed under: uncultured bacterium
Lineage: Bacteria
Description: partial 16S ribosomal RNA
Rfam family: Bacterial small subunit ribosomal RNA
Source: RNAcentral
CCUACGGGUGGCAGCAGUGAGGAAUAUUGGUCAAUGGACGAGAGUCUGAACCAGCCAAGUAGCGUGAAGGAUGACUGCUCUAGGGGUUGUAAACUUCUUUUAUAUGGGAAUAAAAUGUUCAACGUGUGGGAUUAUGUAUGUACCAUAUGAAUAAGGAUCGGCUAACUCCGUGCCAGCUGCCGCGGUAAUACGGAGGAUCCGAGCGUUAUCCGGAUUUAUUGGGUUUAAAGGGAGCGUAGGGGGGUGGUUAAGUUAGUUGUGAAAGUUUGCGGCUCAACCGUAAAAUUGCAGUUGAAACUGGCAGUCUUGAGUACAGUAGAGGUGGGCGGAAGUCGUGGUGUAGCGGUGAAAUGCGUAGAGAUCACGAAGAACUCCGAUUGCGAAGGCAGCUCACUGGACUGCAACUGACACUGAGGCUCGAAAGUGUGGGUAUCAAACAGGAUUAGAUACCCUAGUAGUC